CCUACGGGAGGCUGCAGUGGGGAAUAUUGGACAAUGGGGGGAACCCUGAUCCAGCCAUGCCGCGUGUGUGAAGAAGGCCCUCGGGGUGUAAAGCACUUUCAGUGAGGAAGAACGCCUGGUGGUUAAUACCCAUCAGGAAAGACAUCACUCACAGAAGAAGCACCGGCUAACUCCGUGCCAGCAGCCGCGGUAAUACGGAGGGUGCGAGCGUUAAUCGGAAUUACUGGGCGUAAAGCGCGCGUAGGUGGCUUGAUAAGCCGGUUGUGAAAGCCCCGGGCUCAACCUGGGAACGGCAUCCGGACCUGUCAAGCUAGAGUGCAGGAGAGGAAGGUAGAAUUCCCGGUGUAGCGGUGAAAUGCGUAGAGAUCGGGAGGAAUACCAGUGGCGAAGGCGGCCUUCUGGACUGACACUGACACUGAGGUGCGAAAGCGUGGGUAGCAAACAGGAUUAGAUACCCCGGUAGUC
This 465-nucleotide ribosomal RNA is filed under the name Vreelandella stevensii. RNAcentral describes it as "partial 16S ribosomal RNA". It matches the Rfam family "Bacterial small subunit ribosomal RNA", at positions 338 to 795 of the family's 1533-position model. The record is from RNAcentral. Lineage: Bacteria; Pseudomonadati; Pseudomonadota; Gammaproteobacteria; Oceanospirillales; Halomonadaceae.